AUUGAACGCUGGCGGCAGGCCUAACACAUGCAAGUCGAACGGUAACAGGAAGCAGCUUGCUGCUUUGCUGACGAGUGGCGGACGGGUGAGUAAUGUCUGGGAAACUGCCUGAUGGAGGGGGAUAACUACUGGAAACGGUAGCUUAUACCGCAUAACGUCGCAAGACCAAAGAGGGGGACCUUAGGGCCUCUUGCCAUCGGAUGUGCCCAGAUGGGAUUAGCUAGUAGGUGGGGUAACGGCUCACCUAGGCGACGAUCCCUAGCUGGUCUGAGAGGAUGACCAGCCACACUGGAACUGAGACACGGUCCAGACUCCUACGGGAGGCAGCAGUGGGGAAUAUUGCACAAUGGGCGCAAGCCUGAUGCAGCCAUGCCGCGUGUAUGAAGAAGGCCUUCGGGUUGUAAAGUACUUUCAGCGGGGAGGAAGGGAGUAAAGUUAAUACCUUUGCUCAUUGACGUUACCCGCAGAAGAAGCACCGGCUAACUCCGUG
This 490-nucleotide ribosomal RNA is filed under the name uncultured bacterium. RNAcentral's name for it is "partial 16S ribosomal RNA". It matches the Rfam family "Bacterial small subunit ribosomal RNA", at positions 30 to 507 of the family's 1533-position model. The record is from RNAcentral.